Long non-coding RNA from Nematostella vectensis (starlet sea anemone), 1300 nucleotides. RefSeq lists it as uncharacterized. The transcript is spliced from 2 exons. NCBI's taxonomy places the organism in Eukaryota, Metazoa, Cnidaria, Anthozoa, Actiniaria, Edwardsiidae. The record is from RefSeq and is a predicted model, not a curated record.
CCACUUUGACCAGGCACCUAAUACGACUAGUGCGAAUAAUAGGGCUCCCCUCGGGAAACUCCAGGCACCAAAUACAGCAGGUUCAAAUAAUAGGGCUCUCCCUCGUGUCACUCCAAGCACCAAAUACAGCAGGUUCAAAUAAUAGGGCUCUCCCUCGUGUCACCCCAGGCACCAAAUACAGCAGGUUCAAAUAAUAGGGCUCUCCCUCGUGUCACCCCAUGCACCAAAUACAGCAGGUUCAAAUAAUAGGGCUCUCCCUCGUGUCACCCCAGGCACCAAAUACAGCAGGUUCAAAUAAUAGGGCUCUCCCUCGUGUCACCCCAGGCACCAAAUACAGCAGGUUUAAAUAAUAGGGCUCUCCCUCGUGUCACUUCAGGCACCAAAUACAGCAGGUUCAAAUAAUAGGGCUCUCCCUCGUGUCACCCCAGGUACCAAAUACAGCAGGUUUAAAUAAUAGGGCUCUCCCUCGGGAAACCCCAGGCACCAAAUACAGCAGGUUCAAAUUAUAGGGCUUUCCCUCGUGUCACCCCAGGCACCAAAUACAGCAGGUUCAAAUAAAAGGGCCCUCUCUCGUGUCACCCCAGGCACCAAAUACAGCGGGUUCAAAUAAUAGGGCUCUCCCUCGUGUCACCCCAGGCACCAAAUACAGCAGGUUCAAAUAAUAAGGCUCUCCCUCGUGUCACUCCAGGCACCAAAUACAGCAGGUUCAAAUAAUAGGGCUCUCCCUCGGGAAACUCCAGGCACCAAAUACAGCAGGUUCAAAUAAUAGGGCUCUCCCUCGUGUCACCCCAGGCACCAAAUACAGCAGGUUCAAAUAAUAAGGCUCUCCCUCGUGUCACUCCAGGCACCAAAUACAGCAGGUUCAAAUAAUAGGGCUCUCCCUCGCGAAACCUCAGGCACCAAAUACAGCAGGUUCAAAUAAUAGGGCUCUCCCUCGGGAAACCUCAGGCACCAAAUACAGCAGGUUCAAAUAAUAGGGCUCUCCCUCGUGUCACCCCAGGCACCAAAUACAGCAGGUUCAAAUAAUAGGGCUCUCCCUCGCGAAACCUCAGGCACCAAAUACAGCAGGUUCAAAUAAUAGGGCUCUCCCUCGUGUCACCCCAGGCACCAAAUACAGCAGGUUCAAAUAAUAGGGCUCUCCCUCGGGAAACCUCAGGCACCAAAUACAGCAGGUUCAAAUAAUAGGGCUCUCCCUCGUGUCACCCCAGGCACCAAAACUGCUAGUGCAAAUGAUGUUCGCACUUGGCGUUCAAUUCCAAACAAAGUUGCAAUGGAAUAAGCACAGCAUUAGGGCUAGAAA